AGAGUUUGAUCCUGGCUCAGGACGAACGCUGGCGGCGUGCCUAAUACAUGCAAGUCGAGCGGAGUUACUGAGGUGCUUGCACCUUAGUAACUCAGCGGCGGACGGGUGAGUAACACGUGGGCAACCUGCCUGCAAGACUGGGAUAACAUUCGGAAACGAAUGCUAAUACCGGAUACGCAAUUGGAUCGCAUGAUUCGAUU
RNAcentral lists this ribosomal RNA (200 nucleotides) under uncultured bacterium. Its description in RNAcentral is "partial 16S ribosomal RNA". It matches the Rfam family "Bacterial small subunit ribosomal RNA", at positions 8 to 200 of the family's 1533-position model. The record is from RNAcentral.